CUAUGAAAGAAAAUAGGCCGUCCCCUUCUUGUGGUCGCCCAAAAGAAAAAAAGAGGAGGGGGUGUCCAAGAGUUGGACGCCCCGUAACUCCCCAUGUGAAGCCCCUCUUUUCUUUCCUCUUUGGAAAAGUUUUUAUGAGAGUUUGAUUAUUGAUUCUUAGGCAUCAAAGAGAGGCUUCUCUGCUGGUUUUGAUAGUAGAAAAUUAGAGAAAAAAGUUUUUCCCAAC
This 226-nucleotide long non-coding RNA is filed under the name Elaeis guineensis (African oil palm). Its description in RNAcentral is "long non-coding RNA (EGUI_LNC082241)". The record is from RNAcentral. Lineage: Eukaryota; Viridiplantae; Streptophyta; Magnoliopsida; Arecales; Arecaceae.